CUUGAGGCUGUGAAACAAUCUCAGUUUCUGGUGUCUCUUCCCUGGUGGUUGUAUGAGUUGACUCUGGGACGACAGGAAGUGAUUCUGAUAGCUCUGGAUACCUCUCUUCUGGAUGUGUCGGCAUCCCAAACAAUGCAUGGCAAGCUGUUCAAUCUUCUGAUCUAAACCAGGCCACCAGACAAAGCUUCGAACCUAGGUGACUGCCAUGUAGUUCCUGCGACACUUUUACUCUCAUGUUGGAUGGUAGAAUAACUCUCAAUCCUUACACCAGGCAACCCCAGUCAAGGGCAAGUUCAUCCCGGUGCUGGUAAAAAUGGGAGAACUAUGUUUCCUGGUGCACACUCCAGCCAUUUUGCGUGGCCAUGUAGAACUGAGACAUGGUUCUGCUCUUGCUUUGGAUCAUCUCUGCCAUAACAGGAAGACAUUUGAUUUGCAUUAGAGAAAAUACAUCAAGUAGAGUGUCCUCUUUUGUAAAAUUUUCAGCUAUUUCCCUUUCUAAGGUUAAAUGGGACAAUCCGUCAGCAUUUCCAUGAUUGGUUGUCCUCUUGAAAUCGAUCUUGUAAUAGUGUCAUCUGAGAACCAGAGCCCAUCUUUGCAUUUGUGAUGCUGCUGUUGGUGGAACAUUUUUCUGUGGAUUGAAAUGGACACUAGUAGUUGAUGAUCAGUAACAAGGGUAAACUCUCUCCCAUACAAGAAUUGUUUGAAAUGUUUUAUGCCCUCAGCCAGACUCAAAGCCUCUUCGUCAAGAUGUGUUUAAGUUUUCUCAGCAGUGGUAAGGUAAUGUGAUGCAAAUGCUUUGAGACGUUCACUUCCUUCACUCACAACAUGUGACAUGACUGCACCUAUAUUAUAACGCAAGGGGUCUCAGGCAAACUUCACUGGGCAAUGCCCAUGUAUGCAGAGGCAGUGUAACCUGAAAGUGAGCCUUCUUGGUUCAAGAAUGCUCAAGCUAAAGGAAGACCAUCAGCAAUCAACAAUUCAAAGUCAACUGCCUCUAUAUAAGAUGCUGGAUGCCCCCAUAUAAGAAGAGCUUGACCUGCACUGGAAAUAGGUACAGGCCUGGUGUCAGCACUGUGCUGCAGUCAAGUUUAAGAAACAUAAACCAAACAUGGUUUCCUUCUGCUGGAUCAGAACUUUAGCAGCUCUAAGACUUAGAGGUUUACCUAUGACUUGAAAGGAAAAACAGAAAGAGCCGGAGAUCGUACAAGGGGAAGGACCGAUCAAACCAGGAGACCAGGUUUACGUGCGAGUUUUUCGGAGAAAGUGGAACGAGCCAAGAAGGGAAGGACCCUUUACGGUAACCAAGGCAUCACCCACCGUAGUUCAGGUAGAAGGCUGCUCCACCUGGUACCAUCUGAACCAUUGCACGAGGGCAGUCCUGCAAGGGCAAUCAGGUGAAGUGUCCGAGGUAAGUGAUGCGGAAGAGCAGUUAGCGGGAGACAGACAGGGGAAACAAGAAGCUGACACUGCACCGCAGGAGUUUGAUCAAUUAGGAAGGGAGAUUUUUGAUUCUGCGGACGGGCCUGAAGACCCCCAGGAUGUGGUGGUGGAUAGUAGGGCUUCUUCAGAUAAUGGGGAUGAGCUGGGAACGACCAGUUGUGUCCCUGGGGACAGAGCACUCACAUACUCCAGUGCAGACUUGGAAACCAUUAGUGUGGCAGAUAUGGAAUGGGACUAAUAACUUGCAGAAAAGAAGUAAAAGGAGCACAACACUUACCUCCUCACCAUGGUUAAAGACACGUACUAAUCAGUGGUAUCAAUGGGCAACAUACACGGCAGGAAUGAUGAAGAGACAAAAUUGUUACCUGUGCUCAAGGGAAAGCCCCACUCAGCAUGUAGUUCCCAUGCCUUAUAACUCCUCCACUUGCACGCAGUGGCGAAGAGAGCACAGGGAACAAUGCGAACGACAGUGUCCAGGUCCGGUUAGGGCUUGUUUCAUGAGGAUUUGCGUUAAAGCAGAUCCCUGCUAUCAAAACUGUCUGAACAAUGCACCAAUGUGCCCCUAUUGGUGUAUGCUAUAUCAGGCUUCCUCGCAGUUUGAUCAAAGCAAGAUUGCCUCUGAAUGCAAUUACAGCAGACCAUGGGCUAUAAAUAAAAGAAGCCAGACACCUGCACUGCAACAGCUUAUAAUGCAGGACCAUCUGAGUUAUGAAUGUUUCAUGCGGGUGGGCACUCACCCGGUUGGCCACUUCUGAGGCAACUGCACUCAGACGUGGGAUGUAAAAGACACUUGACGGGUUCCCCUCCUCCUGAGGGUGCAAUGGACUCUCAGACUAUCCCAUUAGCAGACACUUGGUGGCUGUGUGGACAGGAAGGAGGUCUGAGAUCUACGCUCCCCCUCAGGUGGGAAGGAACAUGUACACGUGUCAUGCUGCUUCAGGAAGUUAUAAUGUCCCCUGAAGUACAGUCCAACGCUAACUUCCCUGAGCAGCGGACUCUGCUACGGCAGAAGAGAAAAUAUGACCCGGACCCGACAAUCCGGAUUGACAGUACAGGGCAGUCAAGAGGUAUACCUAACGAAUUCAAGGCACGAAACGAGAUUGCUGCAGGCUGGGAAGCUAUCAUACCUGUGAUAGGGGUAAGCAAAAAUGUUGAAUGGAUAAACUAUAUAUACUAUAAUCAGCAGAGAUUCAUCAACUAUACCGAUGAUGCGCUAGAGGCCUUAGGACAGGGGUCAGCAACCUUUACCACUGAAAGAGCCACUUGGACCCGUUUCCCACAGAAAAGAAAACACUGGGAGCCGCAAAACCCGUUUGACAUUUAAAAUGAAAUAACACUGCAUACAACGUUUUGUUUUGCCUUUAUGCUAUGUAUAAACAAACUAUAAUGUGUUGCAUUUAUGAAAUUGAUGAACUCCUGCAGAAAAAACGAAAUUACAUUUCUGCAUGCAACAAAAACAUUUUGAACUCCGAAAAAAAAGACGUUGGGUUGAAGGUUACUUUUAAGUAAAAUACUCAACGUCUAUUUGAGUCCUUCUUGUAUUUAUGAAAAAUGCCAAACUUAAAUUUGCCGCCAGCAGCAAACCAAAAAUAACGUCAGCCAGCUGUCAACCUGAAAAAUAAAAGGACUAUUUCACUGAACAAUGAAAACAUAUGAAUAUACGUAAAAUAAUAGGCAAUUAAAAUAUUUAUCAUACUUGGUCAGGUUGACUCACACCUGACAAUGCAGUCGUAUUCAGUAGGGAUGGAUCGAUGCUUAGGGGAGUGACUGGGAAGGAUAAUGUGUUUUUUUCCUCUCUGAACUCACAGAAGCGUUUCCCAAACGAUGUUUGCAUUGGGAUGAUUGCAGAAUGUAAAUACUCCGAAUUUAUCAUGUCGUGACCUUGUUUGAACUCUCUCAAAUUGGGGAAGUGAGACAAUGUGCCUUUCUGUAAAUCUCUGGCAAGCACUGUCAACUUGCGCUCGAAUGCCAAAACAUCCUCCAACAUGUGCAGGGCUGUCCUUACCCCUGAAGAGCUGUGUUCAGCGUGUUCAGGUGCGCUGUCAUGUCUACCAUGAAGUGUAGCUUUUCCAGCCACUCUGGCUGUUCCAGCUCAGGAAAGGUGGGCCCUUUGCUGCCCAGGAAAGUUUUCACUUCUUCCAGACACGCGACAAAGCGUUUCAGCACCUUCCGUCUGGACAGCCAGCGAUAAAAACACGUUGUAGCGGUGUCAGUAAACUGCAGUCAAAGAUAGCUUUAUUCGAACUAAACAGCCUUGCUUUUAAGCCUCCCUCAACCCAGCCCCCAUGGACGCAGAUGCUGCAAAAGACGCGUACUCACAAACCCCCGUAGGCUAUCUCCCUUAGCCGGAAUGCCGGCUAAUUGUGAGCCGUUUCGGAUGUGGCAGGAAAUGUACAAGAUCACCAUAAUUACAUUUCAAAAGCUAACAAACUAACAUAAAAUACAUUUUAAUUAAAUACUGACCAAUUAUUUCC
Hypanus sabinus (Atlantic stingray) is the source of this 3914-nucleotide long non-coding RNA. RefSeq lists it as uncharacterized. Lineage: Eukaryota; Metazoa; Chordata; Chondrichthyes; Myliobatiformes; Dasyatidae. The record is from RefSeq and is a predicted model, not a curated record. The transcript is spliced from 4 exons.